AGAAGACUAGUUUAAAAAACAUGAAGUUUCGACCUUCAAAUUCUUAGUAUUUAAGCCUAAGGUCUUCAG
RNAcentral lists this transfer RNA (69 nucleotides) under Stichopus horrens (warty sea cucumber). Its description in RNAcentral is "tRNA-Arg". Lineage: Eukaryota; Metazoa; Echinodermata; Holothuroidea; Aspidochirotida; Stichopodidae. RNAcentral also lists the same sequence under 1 other name. The record is from RNAcentral.